Cyprinus carpio carpio is the source of this 2797-nucleotide long non-coding RNA. NCBI's taxonomy places the organism in Eukaryota, Metazoa, Chordata, Actinopteri, Cypriniformes, Cyprinidae. The record is from Ensembl.
GGGACUUUCUAGAUUCAUGAAGAUAACUAAUAGCACCUAGGACCAAAGUUUCAGUGGGCAGGGAUGACAAAGAAGAGAAUAUAAAUUUGGUUGUGACUGUUGCUGCACCGGACACAUUUGUUGGCAAUGUUUUGGGUAUGUUUGAAGUUUCUGGUUGCAAACUUGAAGUACUUUGAAGUGUUGCAUCUGCUUUUGUUGUAUUGUUCAGAGGUGUAGUAUUGCUAGUAAGAGUUUCAGCUGCUAUUGGUUUUAUGGAUGUGUGACCUGAAAUUGUAGAUGCUGGUGAUGUUGACGUAUUGUUGUUUGGACCUGAUGCUAUUGGAAAUUCUGGAAAUUCUGCUGUGUUAGUGAAACCUGUAAUAAUUCCAGUGGUAGUUGUUGAUGCAGUUGUGGUUUCUGAAUCCAAGUUUGGGCUUGAAGUUGUUUUGGUUGAAAGUGCAAGUGUGGCUGGAGCAGAAGAUGUACUGGUAAAAGCGACAGUUGUUUUUAAAAGAUCUCCUGAUGUUAGUUGAAAGGCAGUUGUUGUUUGAGUUGCAGUUGAGCUUGGAAUGGUGGCAGUUGCUGUGCUUGGAGCUGUAGCUGAGAUAUCAGCUGGAACUGUAGUGGUGGCCAGAACAUUCAUGGUUGUAAUGGGUGCAGAUGGGGUUCUUGGAGGUUCAGUUGUUUUUGUUGGAGUUAAAGUUGGUAAUAUAGUUACAUGUGAUGAGGAGAUAGGCAAAAUUGUUACAGCAAUAGUUAUGAUCUCUGGAGACACAGUUGUGAUUAUUGGAGGUGCAUUUGUCGUGGUAAUGAGUGUUGCCUGGCUUAGAGCUGGAACUGUAUUUGUGAAAGCAACAGUUGUGCUUGAUAGAGGUACAGUUGUUAUUUGGAAUGCAGUUGUUGUUGCCACUGAAGGAGUGUUCUUGCUUGAUGUUGUUGGAUCAUUAGUUGUUUUAGAUGUGGUUGAUGAAGCUGUAGUUGCGGUCUCUGCUGUUGUACUUUCUGAAGUUGUAGGCAGUGUUGUUGAAGUAAUGGGUGUGGUUUUUGUACUCACAACUGUGGAGGUGGGAUUUCAUUGGGGAUGCUGUAGUUAUUGAUCUUGUUACAGGUGCAGUUGUUUCUGAAGAUGUAGGCAUUGUUGAAGUAAGAGUUGUGGAUUCAGAAGUUACAGCUGUUGAUGUUGUUGGAUCAUGUGUUGCAGUAGAUGUGGUUGAUAAAGCUGUAGUCGUGGUUUCUGCUGUUGUACUUUCUGAAGUUGUAGUCAGUGUUGUUGAAGUAGUAGUUGUGGUGGUCUCUGUACUCACAACUGUGGUUGUUGGAAUUUCGCUAGUUGACAAUCCUUUAGUUGCUGAUGUUGUUACAGGUGCAGUUGUUUCUGAAGAUGUAGGUAUCGUUGAUGAAGUAAGAGUUGUGGAUUCUGAAGUUACAGCUGUUGAUGUAGCUGGAUUGUUUGUUUUUGUAGAUGUGGUUGAUGAAGCUGUAGUUGUGGUUUCUGCUGUUGUACUUUCAGAAGUUGUAGGCAGUGUUGUUGAAGUAGUCGUUGUGGUCUCUGUACUCACAACUGUGGUUGUUGGAAUUUCGCUAGUUGACAAUCCUUUAGUUGCUGAUUUUGUUACAGGUGCAGUUGUUUCUGAAGAUGUAGGUAUCGUUGUUGAAGUAAGAGUUGUGGAUUCUGAAGUUACAGCUGUUGAUGUUGCUGGAUUGUUUGUUUUUGUAGAUGUGGUUGAUGAAGCUGUAGUUGUGGUUUCUGCUGUUGUACUUUCUGAAGUUGUAGGCAGUGUUGCUGAAGUAGUAGUUGUGGUCUCUGUACUCACAACUGUGGUUGUUGGAAUUUCGCUAGUUGACAAUCCUUUAGUUGCUGAUGUUGUUACAGGUGCAGUUGUUUCUGAAGAUGUAGGUAUCGUUGAUGAAGCUGUAGUUGUGGUUUCUGCUGUUGUACUUUCUGAAGUUGUAGGCAGUGUUUCUGAGGUAGUAGUUGUGGUCUCUGUACUCACAACUGUGGUUGUUGGAAUUUCACUAGUUGACAAUCCUUUAGUUGCUGUUAUUCUUACAGGUGCAAUUGUUUCUGAAGAUGUAGGUAUCGUUGUUGAAGUAAGAGUUGUGGAUUCUGAAGUUACAGCUGUUGAUGUUGCUGGAUUGUUUGUUGUUGUAGAUGUGGUUGAUGAAGCUGUAGUUGUGGUUUCUGCUGUUGUACUUUCUGAAGUUGUAGGCAUUGUUGUGGAAGCAAUAGUUGUGGUUUCUGUACUCACAACUGUGGUGGUGGGAAUUUCAGUAGUUGAGGAUGCUGUAGUUAUUGAUGUUGUUACAGGUGCAGUUGUUUCUGAAGAUGUAGGUAUCGUUGUUGAAGUAAGAGUUGUGGAUUCUGAAGUUACAGCUAUUGAUGUUGCUGGAUUGUUUGUUGUUGUAGAUGUGGUUGAUGAAGCUGUAGUUGUGGUUUCUGCUGUUGUACUUUCUGAAGUUGUAGGCAUUGUUGUGGAAGAAAUAGUUGUGGUUUCUGUACUCACAACUGUGGUGGUGGGAAUUUCAGUAGUUGAGGAUGCUGUAGUUAUUGAUGUUGUUACAGGUGCAGUUGUUUCUGAAGUUGUAGGAAUUGUUGUUGAAGUAAGUGUUAGGGAUUCUGAAGUUACUACUGUUGAUGUUGUUGGAUUGUUUGUUAUUGUAGAUGUGGUUGAUGAAGCUGUAGUGGUGGUUUCCACUGUUGUACUUUCUAAAGUUGUAGGCAAUGUUGUUGAAGUAAUAGGUGUGGUCUCUGUACUUACAACUGUGGUUGUGGGAAUUUCUGUAGAUGAGGAAGCUUUAGUUACUGAUGUUGUUACAG